Molecule: RNA transcript, 1616 nt
Organism: Triticum dicoccoides
Lineage: Eukaryota; Viridiplantae; Streptophyta; Magnoliopsida; Poales; Poaceae
Exons: 5
Source: RefSeq, a predicted model, not a curated record
CUCUCUCUCGAUUCUCUCUCGGCCGCCGGCCGAUUCCGGCCGUUGCCGGUGGUCUCCGGCCCCGCCCAGCACUCCCUCGUGUUCUUCUCGAUCCGGCGUAUCUUCCCCCACCAACUCGAUUCGACGCUCGCCUCCUCCUUAUGCGCCCGUGGUUAACCCUAGCCGCCAUUGUGGCAAGCGCACGACGUCGUCAUGGACGCCGGCGCGGCUUCGGCGCCCCUAGUGCUCAUCCUUGACACCUCCUGCCCGCUCUCGCGCGUCACCGAGAUCGUCGGCCUAGAGUCAUGCCCCGACGCACGUGGCUGCCCGCACCAGGCCAUCCGGGCCGCCUACGCCAUUGAGUCCGCCAAGCCGUCCCAGUCCGUCCUCGUCUCUGUCUCUGGUCGGUGACAGCAUGUAGUUGGAGUGGAGGAUCUUGGAUUUGAGUACGUGAGGGAGGAGGAGCAAGACAAAAUUGAUAAGGCAAGAAUUGUUUUCCCCUCAAUUCAGGUUUCUGUUGCACCUCCAAAAUUCUAACUCAGAUAUAAGUGUGUUUAGAUCAGAUUUAAGGGUAUUGUUUAACCUGAACUUUGUGUUGGGCAUUGGUUCCUCAUGAAUUUUACCUACCUCAUCAGUAUCAUGUGAUCUAUUUAUCCAAAUCUAUGCCGUGGUCUCCUAUUUCUCUUCUGCGUGUUGGAAGAACCAAAUUUUGCUCCUGAAAAUGCAAUAUUGGUUUUAAGAAUUGAGAAAUUGAAAGAUUUGUGUGCUAUCAAAGUGCCUCGUUAAGUGAUUUGCUUAAAAUGUGUAAGUUGGCAGCUCUUCAUUCUUUAACUGUCAUAUUUCACUCUUGUUUAAAAGUUGUUAACUGAUAGCAGUGCCUUCUCUAAUGUUGUUUUCCGAGACGCAAGACUCUUAUGCUCAUGAAGAAGAAGCUUGUUCCAUCACUAUCUUGGAAGAUGGGAAGUCUAGGGACUCGUGAAGCACAAAGAGUGACACAUGGAAAUGGCGUGCAACCUACUUACACAUAGAAUAUUUCAAGAGAUUGUUCCUUCAAAUGCUGGAAAUGUUCUUGGUACUGAAGAUAACGUUCUGACAAAGAAGCGGGUAUCACUUAUUGAUCACCAGGUGAUGAAUAUAUUGGUGGGGAUGCAAGAAAUGGACCAUAUUUUUCACCAUUCCCAUAUGGCUAUUGUACUUCAACACCUAUGGAAGAAGAUGAUGAGCAGCCAAAUACUUCUAGUUCCUAUUGUAAAUAAAGCAAAAGAAGUUUUGUGGCAAAGAUGCAGACCGCAAGACCAAACUAAGCCUUCCAUGAGUCUCUCAUUUUUUGAAGCUCUCACAAAGAAGUUAAGGCUUUCGUAGCAUGUUUUGUAGGAAAGUUAUAAUCAUUGAUUAGAAAAGCCUCGAAUGCUCCUCUCACCCUGGUGAAAAAGUUGUGAAUGAUGUUCUAUAGAGAUUUUAAAUUUAAGUGCAUGGUUGUCAAUGAGCUUAAUCCUUUGUAAAUCCAACAAGAUUCUAUUGAUGUAGUUCUAUUAAGUAUAUUCUUUCUUUUUUGACAUCUGGCGCUCAUCUGGGUUGCAUACGAACGUUCAAAACUCUAACGGCAGGAUUUGUGCGCACAGGUUUGCUCAGGAGGC